GUGUCAGCAGCCGCGGUAAUACAGAGAGUGCAAGCGUUAAUCGGAAUUACUGGGCGUAAAGCGCGCGUAGGUGGAUGUUUAAGUCGGAUGUGAAAGCCCUGGGCUUAACCUAGGAAUUGCAUUCGAUACUGGUCGUCUAGAGUAUGGUAGAGGGAAGUGGAAUUUCCGGUGUAGCGGUGAAAUGCGUAGAUAUCGGAAAGAACACCAGUGGCGAAGGCGGCUUCCUGGACCAAUACUGACACUGAAGCGCGAAAGCGUGGGGAGCAAACAGGAUUAGAUACCCUGGUAGUCC
This 292-nucleotide ribosomal RNA is filed under the name uncultured bacterium. RNAcentral's name for it is "partial 16S ribosomal RNA". It matches the Rfam family "Bacterial small subunit ribosomal RNA", at positions 505 to 796 of the family's 1533-position model. The record is from RNAcentral.